GACGAACGCUGGCGGCGUGCUUAACACAUGCAAGUCGAGCGGAAAGGCCUUUCGGGGUACUCGAGCGGCGAACGGGUGAGUAACACGUGAGUAACCUGCCCCAGACUUUGGGAUAACCCUCGGAAACGGGGGCUAAUACCGGAUACGACACUUCAUCGCAUGGUGUGAGUGUGGAAAGUUUUUCGGUUUGGGAUGGCUCGCGGCCUAUCNGCUUGUUGGUGGGGUGAUGGCCUACCAAGGCGACGACGGGAGCCGGCCUGAGAGGGCGACCGGCCACACUGGGACUGAGACACGGGCCCACGACUCCUACGGGAGGGCAGCAGGUGGGGAAUAUUGCACAAUGGGGCGGAAGCCUGAUGCAGCGACGCCGCGUGAGGGAU
RNAcentral lists this ribosomal RNA (380 nucleotides) under uncultured bacterium. RNAcentral's name for it is "bacterial SSU rRNA". It matches the Rfam family "Bacterial small subunit ribosomal RNA", at positions 28 to 409 of the family's 1533-position model. The record is from RNAcentral.